CGAGGGGUAGGAAACUUCGGUUUCUGAGACCGGCGCACGGGUGCGUAACACGUAUGCAAUCUACCUUGUACAGGGGGAUAGCCCGGAGAAAUCCGGAUUAAUACCCCAUAGUAUUAUGAAAUGGCAUCAUUUUAUAAUUAAAGAUUUAUCGGUACAAGAUGAGCAUGCGUCCCAUUAGUUAGUUGGUAAGGUAACGGCUUACCAAGACUAUGAUGGGUAGGGGUCCUGAGAGGGAUGUCCCCCACACUGGUACUGAGACACGGACCAGACUCCUACGGGAGGCAGCAGUGAGGAAUAUUGGUCAAUGGACGCAAGUCUGAACCAGCUAUGCCGCGUGCAGGAAGAAGGUUCUAUGGAUCGUAAACUGCUUUUGUACAGGAAGAAAUUAUCCCUCGUGAGGGAGCUUGACGGUACUGUAAGAAUAAGGAUCGGCUAACUCCGUGCCAGCAGCCGCGGUAAUACGGAGGAUCCAAGCGUUAUCCGGAAUCAUUGGGUUUAAAGGGUUCGUAGGCGGUUUUGUAAGUCAGUGGUGAAAGUUUGCAGCUUAACUGUAAAAUUGCCAUUGAUACUGCAAGACUUGAAUGUUUGUGAAGUAGCUAGAAUAUGUAGUGUAGCGGUGAAAUGCUUAGAUAUUACAUGGAAUACCGAUUGCGAAGGCAGGUUACUAACAAAUU
RNAcentral lists this ribosomal RNA (674 nucleotides) under Flavobacteriales bacterium. RNAcentral's name for it is "bacterial SSU rRNA". It matches the Rfam family "Bacterial small subunit ribosomal RNA", at positions 63 to 738 of the family's 1533-position model. The record is from RNAcentral. Lineage: Bacteria; Pseudomonadati; Bacteroidota; Flavobacteriia; Flavobacteriales.